GAUGAACGCUGGCGGCGUGCUUAACACAUGCAAGUCGAACGGGAAUUACAUUUUAGCUUGCUAAGUUGUAAUUCUAGUGGCGGACGGGUGAGUAACGCGUGGGUAACCUGCCUUAUACCGGGGGACAACAGUUGGAAACGACUGCUAAUACCGCAUAAGCGCACGGGAAGGCAUCUUUCUGUGUGAAAAACUCCGGUGGUAUAAGAUGGACCCGCGUCUGAUUAGCCAGUUGGCGGUGUAACGGCCCACCAAAGCGACGAUCAGUAGCCGGUCUGAGAGGAUGAACGGCCACAUUGGGACUGAGACACGGCCCAGACUCC
Molecule: ribosomal RNA, 320 nt
Filed under: uncultured Lachnospiraceae bacterium
Lineage: Bacteria; Bacillati; Bacillota; Clostridia; Lachnospirales; Lachnospiraceae
Description: bacterial SSU rRNA
Rfam family: Bacterial small subunit ribosomal RNA
Source: RNAcentral